Molecule: unclassified non-coding RNA, 284 nt
Filed under: Hevea brasiliensis (rubber tree)
Lineage: Eukaryota; Viridiplantae; Streptophyta; Magnoliopsida; Malpighiales; Euphorbiaceae
Source: RNAcentral
CAGUCUUUCAUCGCAUGGUUUGGUAUGUAAACUUUUAUGGAUUGGCAAAAUUAUCUGUGUAAUUUAGAUGCUAUGUGUUGCAAUUGCUUGCUAUUGUGCAUGAAGCUUUUUAGCAUGGUUGUUUAAAGUUUGGAUUGCAGAACUCAAUUGUGCCUGUGAAGGUUAUUCAUGCAUCCAGUUCACUCAUGUGAUAUGAAUGAUUGUGUUGUUAGAAUCUAAAACCACGGAAAUUUUUGUAUGUUGCAUCUUUAGCGACAGGAUGCUUGGACUGUUCACUUUUUAAG